This 1368-nucleotide ribosomal RNA is filed under the name metagenome. Its description in RNAcentral is "bacterial SSU rRNA". It matches the Rfam family "Bacterial small subunit ribosomal RNA", at positions 63 to 1394 of the family's 1533-position model. The record is from RNAcentral.
CGAGACUUUUCCAGUCCGCAAGGAUUGGGAGAGAAAAGUGGCGAAAGGGUGAGUACCACGUGGGUAAUCUGCCUUCAAGUUGGGGAUAACUCGGCGAAAGCUGGGCUAAUACCGAAUGUGGUUGCUGGUCGCAUGAUCGGACAACUAAAGGCGGGGAUUCGCUUCGGCGGACCCGUCGCUUGUUGAGGAGCCCGCGUCCUAUCAGCUUGUUGGUGAGGUAACGGCUUACCAAGGCUUACGGGUAGCUGGUCUGAGACGAUGGUCAGCCACACUGGGACUGAGACACUGCCCAGACUCCUACGGGAGGCUGCAGUCGAGGAUCAUUCGCAAUGCGCGAAAGCGUGACGAUGCGACGCUGCGUGGAGGAUGACGGCCUUCGGGUUGUAAACUCCUGUUAUCCGGGAACAAUAGCGUAAGGUGUAAUAUAUCUUGCGUCCGAUAGUACCGGAAGAGGAAGCCACGGCUAACUCUGUGCCAGCAGCCGCGGUAAUACAGAGGUGGCGAGCGUUGUUCGGAUUUACUGGGCGUAAAGGGUGCGUAGGUGGUUUUGUGUGUCGGGCGUGAAAUCUCGCUGCUCAACGGCGGAACUGCGUUCGAAACUGCAAGACUUGAGUACAGGAGAGGAAAGCGGAAUUCUUGGUGUAGCGGUGGAAUGCGUUGAUAUCAAGAAGAACGCCGGUGGCGAAGGCGGCUUUCUGGAAUGUUACUGACACUGAGGCUCGAAAGUUGGGGGAGCAAACAGGAUUAGAUACCCUGGUAGUCCCAACCCUAAACGGUGUACACUUGGUGUGGGGAGAUUUGACCCUCCCCGUGCCGGAGCUAACGCGUUAAGUGUACCGCCUGGGGAGUACGGCCGCAAGGCUAAAACUCAAAGAAAUUGACGGGGGCCCGCACAAGCGGAGGAGCAUGUGGCUUAAUUCGAUGCAACGCGAAGAACCUUACCAGGGCUUGACAUGCAGCUGCACGCCCCGUGAAAGCGGGGAAGCUUUCGAAGGUGCUGCACAGGUGCUGCAUGGCUGUCGUCAGUUCGUGCCGUGAGGUGUUGGGUUAAGUCCCGCAACGAACGCAACCCCUGUGUCUAGUUGCCACCCCCGGUGAUGAAUCGGGGAGCACUCUAAACAGACUGCCCGUGCAAGCGGGAGGAAGGUGGGGAUGACGUCAAGUCAGUAUGGCCUUUAUGCCCUGGGCUGCACACGUGCUACAAUGGCUGGUACAAUGGGAUGCAAGACCGCAAGGUGGAGCAAAUCCUCAAAACCUGCCUCAGUUGGGAUUGAAGUCUGCAAUUCGACUUCAUGAACGUGGAUUCGCUAGUAAUGGCGCAUCAGCUACGGCGCCGUGAAUACGUUCCCGGGCCUUGUACACACCGCC